GACGAACGCUGGCGGCGUGCCUAAUACAUGCAAGUAGAACGCUGAAGGCGUCGCUUGCUUCUCUGGCUGAGUUGCGAACGGGUGAGUAACGCGUAGGUAACCUGCCUGGUAGCGGGGGACAACUAUGGGAAACGAUAGCUAAUACCGCAUAACCUUAGAUAUCGAUUGUUAUCUACAUGAAAGCUGCAAUUGCGUCACUACCAGAUGGAGCGGCGUUGUAUUAGCUAGUUGGUGAGGUAACGGCGCACCAAGGCGACGAUGAAUAGCCGGCCUGAGAGGAUGAUCGGCCACACUGGGACUGAGACACGGCCCAGACUCCUACGGGAGGCAGCAGUAGGGAAUCUUCGGCAAUGGACGGAAGUCUGACCGAGCAACGCCGCGUGAGUGAAGAAGGUUUUCGGAUCGUAAAGCUCUGUUGUAAGAGAAGAACGAGUGUGAGAGUGGAAAGUUCACACUGUGACGGUAUCUUACCAGAAAGGGACGGCUAACUACGUG
RNAcentral lists this ribosomal RNA (495 nucleotides) under uncultured bacterium. Its description in RNAcentral is "partial 16S ribosomal RNA". It matches the Rfam family "Bacterial small subunit ribosomal RNA", at positions 28 to 507 of the family's 1533-position model. The record is from RNAcentral.